UACGUAGGGUGCGAGCGUUAAUCGGAAUUACUGGGCGUAAAGCGUGCGCAGGCGGUUGUGCAAGACAGAUGUGAAAUCCCCGGGCUCAACCUGGGAACUGCAUUUGUGACUGCACGGCUGGAGUGCGGCAGAGGGGGAUGGAAUUCCGCGUGUAGCAGUGAAAUGCGUAGAUAUGCGGAGGAACACCGAUGGCGAAGGCAAUCCCCCUGGGCCUGCACUGACGCUCAUGCACGAAAGCGUGGGGAGCAAACAGG
Molecule: ribosomal RNA, 254 nt
Filed under: uncultured bacterium
Lineage: Bacteria
Description: partial 16S ribosomal RNA
Rfam family: Bacterial small subunit ribosomal RNA
Source: RNAcentral